Molecule: long non-coding RNA, 1186 nt
Filed under: Homo sapiens (human)
Lineage: Eukaryota; Metazoa; Chordata; Mammalia; Primates; Hominidae
Description: HSALNT0036869
Source: RNAcentral
CAUUGCACACGCGGCACCAGAAAGAGGAACAAUCUAAUUUGUGAGACUGCGGGUAUGAAACUGUCAUUCUCUGAGAGAGGACUGUGGAAGGCUGUAUUCUCUGUACUUCCCUCUCGUCCUCUCUCCCCAUGAGGCAACUUUGAGUAUAUUGCUCCCAAAGGUGUGCCAAGCUUGCAUUUGAACUUGGCUUUAUGUGAAAACAGAAUAUUCUUGUACUCCUUUGGAUUUAAGACGUUAGGCAACCGAGGAGUAUUCUCAAAGGAGGAUAGAAUGCCUAUAAACAAAACUACAGCUACAAGGAGUACUAGUGCGUAUUCCUCUAUCAAUGUUCUCCACACUUCUCCAACUCAGAGCCUAGCACAACUCUUCUAUAAUGCCCACCCUCCUCUACAAGGCCUGCUUCAGCCCAGCAAAGGAAGGCUCAGCCAACACUUCUUUCCUCCCGGAAAUCUUUUCAACAUCUCCAAGAGAGAAUUAGUCAGUUUAUCCUUGGAAUUUCAUAGCCAUAAAUCUGGACUUCUACUUGAUCCAAACACCAUGAUGUCUUGUGUUAUUUGUAUUAUUUAUGUAAUCAUUCCCUGUAUGAUUGUAAGCUACUCACCCUUGUGUGUUCAACAUUAUCCAGCAUAGGACAAAAGAACAUACUGAAUACAUUAAUAAAUGUACACAGUUAUAGAUCCAUCUCUUACAAUGAACUCACAGACACAGCAAAUUCAAGGGAUAAGAUGCAAACUUCAAAAAAAAAAUGAUAACCUUGCAUAGUAAACAUAAAAAUAGAGCAAAUAUUCAGUUUUUCUGAUCUUAGCUUUCCAGAGAGCGAUUAUUAAAGAAGCAAGAAUUUACCACUUACUGAAAACAGAGAGUUCAGUUUCUAACAGAAGGACUACAUUCCCUUCUCUGAGUUUGAACCUGAACAUAUUAAAGUAUUUGAAGUUAAUUCAGAAAAAAAGAGUACCAAUCUGCAACAUGUGCAAGAUUCUAUUUUUCUCUAAAAUUUCACUGUGAAGAAUAAACAGAAGGUUACUAACAGUUUAUAUCCUUACCUAUUUUGUUUUGUGGGACAAUGUAUUUUUUUCAAAUUUAAGAACUGUUUUACUUCAUUUCCUAUGCCUUAUUUUAUAACAACUGGCCAUGGAAUUUCAGUGUUUCAUAUGUGAAAGAAGGGAAAUAAAUAACAUUUUAAAGG